This 508-nucleotide ribosomal RNA is filed under the name uncultured bacterium. RNAcentral describes it as "partial 16S ribosomal RNA". It matches the Rfam family "Bacterial small subunit ribosomal RNA", at positions 28 to 507 of the family's 1533-position model. The record is from RNAcentral.
GACGAACGCUGGCGGCGUGCCUAAUACAUGCAAGUCGAACGCUUCUUUCCUCCCUAGUGCUUGCACUCAAUUGGAAAGAGGAGUGGCGGACGGGUGAGUAACACGUGGGUAACCUACCCAUCAGAGGGGGAUAACACUUGGAAACAGGUGCUAAUACCGCAUAACAGUUUAUGCCGCAUGGCAUAAGAGUGAAAGGCGCUUUCGGGUGUCGCUGACGGCUGGACCCGCGGUGCAUUAGCUAGUUGGUGAGGUAACGGCUCACCAAGGCCACGAUGCAUAGCCGACCUGGGAGGGUGAUCGGCCACCCUGGGACUGAGCCACGGCCCAGAGUCCUACGGGAGGCAGCAGUAGCGAAUCUGCGGCAAUGGACGAAAGUCUGACAGAGCAACGGCGCGUGAGUGAAAAAGGCUUCCGGAUCGUAAAACUCUGUUGUUAGAGAAGAACAAGGACGUUAGUAACUGAACGUCCCCUGACGGUAUCUAACCAGAAAGCCACGGCUAACUACGUG